CCCAUUUGCCUGUAGGUGUCCGACUAAGAUGAAGCAUUAUUCAAUUCCAAGGUCUUCAUAGAAUUCUCAGAGCUGGGAGCCACUGAAUUGCCUACCAUUGUCAGUUACCAAUGCCCUUGGGAGACCAUAAUGGCCAAUAAUAGAUUUUCAGAUAAAGUCUUUAACUCUAGCCUCUGUUAUACAUGUUAGGGGCUCAGCC
Molecule: long non-coding RNA, 199 nt
Filed under: Elaeis guineensis (African oil palm)
Lineage: Eukaryota; Viridiplantae; Streptophyta; Magnoliopsida; Arecales; Arecaceae
Description: long non-coding RNA (EGUI_LNC071871)
Source: RNAcentral